UUUUAGUCCCGGUAGCAGCGGCAUCCUUUUGUGGCAUUGUUUGCCACAAAAGAUACAGCGGAUGACGGGAUUGGCU
Molecule: small RNA, 76 nt
Filed under: Flavobacterium sp. TAB 87
Lineage: Bacteria; Pseudomonadati; Bacteroidota; Flavobacteriia; Flavobacteriales; Flavobacteriaceae
Description: Flavo-1 RNA
Rfam family: Flavo-1 RNA
Source: Rfam by way of RNAcentral